GGGUGGGGUCCGCGCAGUCUGGCGGGAUUCAACUCGGUGGGAACGGGACGGCCGCGCGGUGUGGGAGGAUCUCCUCGUGGGACCUCUCCCCGAAGCUGGCUGGCCCCAGCCGGGCGCAUUUCCUCCGUGGCGGUGCGCCGCGACCGGCUCUAGGUCGGCUUGGAAAGGCUCGGGGCGAAGGUGGCUCGCGACUUCGGCCGCGUGCUUUACAGCGCCCCCCGCCCCGGACCUCGCCCGCUUCCCGGGGCCGUGGACUAAGUGCUCSSUGCGCCCUCUCUCCCCGCGGGGAGGGACGGGGCCCCCUGCUCCCGGCGCGACUGUCUACCGGGGCGGACUGUCCUCAGUGCGCCCCAACGCGUCGGCGUCGCCAGGGCGGGGAUCGGCUCACGUAAAAGGCGUCAGGGGUCUGCGGGSGAUGUCGGCAACCCACCCGG
This 434-nucleotide ribosomal RNA is filed under the name Pholis gunnellus (rock gunnel). RNAcentral's name for it is "partial 28S ribosomal RNA". Lineage: Eukaryota; Metazoa; Chordata; Actinopteri; Perciformes; Pholidae. The record is from RNAcentral.